RNAcentral lists this long non-coding RNA (325 nucleotides) under Triticum aestivum (bread wheat). RNAcentral describes it as "long non-coding RNA (TAES_LNC018603)". Lineage: Eukaryota; Viridiplantae; Streptophyta; Magnoliopsida; Poales; Poaceae. The record is from RNAcentral.
CAAUGUUGGCUGAAAAUCUCGUGGAUGUUCCCCAUUUGCAAACACAAGAAAAUGGACUGUUACAGACAAAUGUACUAUCCCAGGAGGAAGUAGCAGGACCUUCCCAGACUAAUCAACCAUCCCAGGAGGAAGUAGCAGGACCUUCCCAGACUAAUCAACCAUCCCAGGAGGAAGUAGCAGGACCUUCGCAGACUAAUCAACCAUUGCAGGAGGAUGUAGCAGAACCUUCGCAGACUAAUCAACCAUUGCAGGAGGAUGUAGCAGAACCUUCGCACACUAAUCAACCAUUGCAGGAGGAUGUAGCAGAACCUUCACACACUAAUCA